Molecule: microRNA precursor, 94 nt
Filed under: Oryctes borbonicus
Lineage: Eukaryota; Metazoa; Arthropoda; Insecta; Coleoptera; Scarabaeidae
Description: mir-275 microRNA precursor family
Rfam family: mir-275 microRNA precursor family
Source: Rfam by way of RNAcentral
CGACGGUUUGUGGUGCGUGCUACUUCGGUGCUUGGCUUUGUUCAUUCCGGUCGGUAAGUCAGGUACCUGAAGUAGCGCGCGCUACGGGCCGGUA